CCUACGGGGGGCAGCAGUGAGGAAUAUUGGUCAAUGGGCGCGAGCCUGAACCAGCCAAGUAGCGUGAAGGAUGACUGCCCUACGGGUUGUAAACUUCUUUUAUAAAGGAAUAAAGUGAGGCACGUGUGCCUCUUUGUAUGUACUUUAUGAAUAAGGAUCGGCUAACUCCGUGCCAGCAGCCGUGGUAAUACGGAGGCGCCGAGCGUUAUCGGGAUUUAUUGGGGUUAAAGGGAGCGUAGAUGGGUUGUUAAGUCAGUUGUGAAAGUUUGCGGCUCAACCGUAAGAUUGCAAUUGAUACUGGCAGUCUUGAGUACAGUUGAGGUAGGCGGAAUUCGUGGGGUAGCAGUGAAAUGCUUAGAUAUCGCGAAGAACUCCGGUUGCGAAGGCAGCUUACUAAACUGCCACUGACAUUGAUGCACGAAGGUGAGGGUAUCGAACGGGAUUAGAUACCCUGGUAGUC
RNAcentral lists this ribosomal RNA (460 nucleotides) under uncultured bacterium. RNAcentral describes it as "partial 16S ribosomal RNA". It matches the Rfam family "Bacterial small subunit ribosomal RNA", at positions 338 to 795 of the family's 1533-position model. The record is from RNAcentral.